Molecule: long non-coding RNA, 229 nt
Organism: Dermochelys coriacea (leatherback sea turtle)
Lineage: Eukaryota; Metazoa; Chordata; Testudines; Dermochelyidae
Exons: 3
Source: RefSeq, a predicted model, not a curated record
AUGAGGUGAUAAGUAACAAUCAGCAUGGAUUUGUCAAGAACAAAUCGUGUCAAAUCAACCUAAUAGCUUUCUUUGAUAGGGGUAACAAAUCUUGUGGAUGGAGGAAAAUGGUAGAUGUGGAAUAUCUUGCCUUUAGUAAGGCUUUUGAUAUUGUCUCACAUGACCUUCUCAUAAACAAACUAGGGAAAUACAGCCUAGAUGGAGCUACUAUAAGAGCUGCAAGUGUUGA